Molecule: ribosomal RNA, 487 nt
Filed under: Eulamprus leuraensis
Lineage: Eukaryota; Metazoa; Chordata; Lepidosauria; Squamata; Scincidae
Description: partial 16S ribosomal RNA
Rfam family: Bacterial large subunit ribosomal RNA
Source: RNAcentral
AGUAUUAAAGGUCUGCCUGCCCAGUGAAACUUUUUAACGGCCGCGGUAUUCUAACCGUGCAAAGGUAGCGUAAUCAUUUGUCUUCUAAAUAAAGACCAGUAUGAAUGGCUAAAUGAGGAUAAACCUGUCUCCUGCAACCUAUCAGUGAAAUUGAUCUUCCAGUCCAAAAGCUGGAAUACUUACAUAAGACGAGAAGACCCUGUGGAGCUUAAGCCCGCCUGCUAAUAAACAAAUAAUGCACAUAGCAAGAGGGUUUAAGUUGGGGCGACUUCGGAACAAAAAAUAACUUCCGAGCACAGAACCACACAUUCUAACUAAGGUUAACAAACCAAAGCAAAAUUUGACCCAGUCAAACUGAUUAACGAACCAAGUUACCCCAGGGAUAACAGCGCCAUCUUCUUCAAGAGUCCAUAUCGACAAGAAGGUUUACGACCUCGAUGUUGGAUCAGGGCACCCAAAUGGUGCAGCCGCUAUUAAAGGUUCGUUU